CGUAGGCAGCGAGCGUUGUUCGGAGUUACUGGGCGUAAAGGGUGUGUAGGCGGUUGUUUAAGUUUGGUGUGAAAUCUCCCGGCUCAACCGGGAGGGUGCGCCGAAUACUGAAUGACUUGGAGUGUGGGAGAGGUGAGUGGAAUUCCUGGUGUAGCGGUGAAAUGCGUAGAUAUCAGGAGGAACACCGGUGGUGUAGACGGCUCACUGGACCAUAACUGACGCUGAGACACGAAAGCGUGGGUAGCAAACAGGAUUAGAUACCCUGGUAGUCCACGCCCUAAACGAUGCAUAUUUGGUGUGGGCAGUUCAUUCUGUCCGUGCCGGAGCUAACGCGUUAAAUAUGCCGCCUGGGGAGUACCGUCGCAAGGCUG
This 371-nucleotide ribosomal RNA is filed under the name uncultured organism. RNAcentral describes it as "bacterial SSU rRNA". It matches the Rfam family "Bacterial small subunit ribosomal RNA", at positions 526 to 896 of the family's 1533-position model. The record is from RNAcentral.